This 258-nucleotide ribosomal RNA is filed under the name uncultured bacterium. RNAcentral describes it as "partial 16S ribosomal RNA". It matches the Rfam family "Bacterial small subunit ribosomal RNA", at positions 524 to 777 of the family's 1533-position model. The record is from RNAcentral.
UACGUAGGGUGCGAGCGUUGCCCGGAUUUAUUGGGCGUAAAGGGCGCGCAGGCGGCUCGGCACGUCCGUUGUGAAAUCGCCCGGCUCAACUGGGGCGGGGGUCAGCGGAUACGGUCGAGCUUGAGCAAGCCAGGGGGGCAAUGGAAUUCCCGGUGUAGUGGUGGAAUGCGUAGAUAUCGGGAGGAACACCAGUGGCGAAAGCGGCGCGCUGGAUCUCUUCUGACGCUGAGGCGCGAAAGCCAGGGGGAGCGAACGGGG